This 465-nucleotide ribosomal RNA is filed under the name uncultured bacterium. RNAcentral's name for it is "partial 16S ribosomal RNA". It matches the Rfam family "Bacterial small subunit ribosomal RNA", at positions 338 to 795 of the family's 1533-position model. The record is from RNAcentral.
CCUACGGGUGGCUGCAGUAGGGAAUCUUCCACAAUGGGCGAAAGCCUGAUGGAGCAACGCCGCGUGGGUGAAGAAGGUCUUCGGAUCGUAAAACCCUGUUGUCAGAGAAGAAAAUGCGUGAGAGUAACUGUUCACGUCUCGAUGGUAACUAACCAGAAAGCACCGGCUAACUACGUGCCAGCAGCCGCGGUAAUUAGUAGGUGGCAAGCGUUAUCCGGAUUUAUUGGGCGUAAAGGGAACGCAGGCGGUCUUUUAAGUCUGAUGUGAAAGCCUUGGGCUUAACCGGAGUAGUGCAUUGGAAACUGGGAGACUUGAGUGCUGGAGAGGAGAGUGGAACUCCAUGUGUAGCGGUGAAAUGCGUAGAUAUAUGGAAGAACACCAGUGGCGAAGGCGGCUCGCUGGUCUGUAACUGACGCUGAGGUUCGAAAGCGUGGGGAGCAAACAGGAUUAGAUACCCCAGUAGUC